CCUACGGGUGGCAGCAGUGAGGAAUAUUGGUCAAUGGGCGAGAGUCUGAACCAGCCAAGUAGCGUGAAGGAUGACUGCCCUACGGGUUGUAAACUUCUUUUAUAAAGGAAUAAAGUGAAGCACGUGUGCCUUUUUGUAUGUACUUUAUGAAUAAGGAUCGGCUAACUCCGUGCCAGCAGCCGCGGUAAUACGGAGGAUCCGAGCGUUAUCCGGAUUUAUUGGGUUUAAAGGGAGCGUAGAUGGGUUGUUAAGUAAGUUGUGAAAGUUUGCGGCUCAACCGGAAAAUUGCAAUUGAUACUGGCAGUCUUGAGUGCAGCUGAGGUAGGCGGAAUUCGUGGUGUAGCGGUGAAAUGCUUAGAUAUCACGAAGAACUCCGAUUGCGAAGGCAGCUUACUAAACUGCCACUGACGUUGAUGCUCGAAAGUGUGGGUAUCAAACAGGAUUAGAUACCCGUGUAGUC
RNAcentral lists this ribosomal RNA (460 nucleotides) under uncultured bacterium. RNAcentral's name for it is "partial 16S ribosomal RNA". It matches the Rfam family "Bacterial small subunit ribosomal RNA", at positions 338 to 795 of the family's 1533-position model. The record is from RNAcentral.